UCAAAAACCAAAAAAAA
RNAcentral lists this small RNA (17 nucleotides) under Arabidopsis thaliana (thale cress). RNAcentral's name for it is "ATSL149800". The record is from RNAcentral. Lineage: Eukaryota; Viridiplantae; Streptophyta; Magnoliopsida; Brassicales; Brassicaceae.